This is a long non-coding RNA of Bufo bufo (common toad), 1009 nucleotides long. RefSeq lists it as uncharacterized. The record is from RefSeq and is a predicted model, not a curated record. The transcript has 4 exons. Lineage: Eukaryota; Metazoa; Chordata; Amphibia; Anura; Bufonidae.
CAUUGUCUGUGAUGGCAUAGUAUAAUAUAGCUGGAGCCAACACUGCCCAGAAUUUUGUAACCUUAUUUGGGAGCAGGAGAGAAAAGUCUGAUAGUGUUAGGUUCCCAUCUGCAGAAGCCACCUUGUCGUUGGUAGAUGGGCCCAACAUAAUUUUGAUCAAAAACAUGCGCAAAGACCUUACGAUAUUUUUCAUGAAUAAGGAAUAUAGCAGAAAUGGAAUUUCGGAUUAACCCAUGUUUCCAAUGGCUGCAUAUGUCUUUGUGCAAGCAACAUUUCACAAAGACUCUAACGUACCUGAGCCUGGGUUUAUGAAACUGGGACUCUUGCAUAGAGCUGCAGAACCAGGAUGGAUUUGCUCAUGCUGCAUUUUCCACAGACUCUAACACAGCUGAGACCUACAGCCAGGGUAUUGCCUCCACCAUGGACUGUUGUUUAUUUUUUGCCCCCCUGCUACAUUGUUGUAGCCUAGGUCUUGUAUAUGUAUGUAUAGACACUUAUGCCCUAGUUUUUUCUCUCUACAGGGAGGAAGUCAGCUCAAUCUUUGUCUUUGUGAAUUUGUUGCCAGGCUACCAGAAAGGAUCCCGAGCAGAAGCCUAGGACAGCUUGACUUUCAGCAAGUGGGUGUGCAGUACCCCAGACCUGCAGUUCCUCGUAGGACAUAUCCUGGAGGGCCCAGUGUGACGUCUCCAGCAGGCCUGGUACAAACGCCUACAAAUACAGGACAUGAUGGUGACGGAUGGAAAAGCCUGACGUCUGCGAUGAUGGAAAGGUUUCCACCACUUCUACCAGGAAACAGCCCCCAACGUGCUGGGAGUGACCCCCGCCUGCUGCAUCUCCUCACUGCUCUAUGAGAACGUCUCUCACCUCCUGCUGGAAACCAAUAAAGAGAGAAAUUCUACCAUUUCAUACAAUCCCAUUCUACGACCACAGUCCAGAUGUUCUGUAAUAAAGAUGAAUGUGAAACAAGAAUUCUGACAGAAGAGUACUCUACAGUCAUAUUGAAUUGAGC